Molecule: transfer RNA, 73 nt
Filed under: Myotis lucifugus (little brown bat)
Lineage: Eukaryota; Metazoa; Chordata; Mammalia; Chiroptera; Vespertilionidae
Rfam family: tRNA
About the family: Transfer RNA (tRNA) molecules are approximately 80 nucleotides in length. Their secondary structure includes four short double-helical elements and three loops (D, anti-codon, and T loops).
Source: Rfam by way of RNAcentral
GCCGGUGUGGCUCAGUGGAUAGAGUGUUGGCCUGCAGACCAAAGGGUCCCAGGUUUGAUUCCGGUCAAGGGCA